RNAcentral lists this ribosomal RNA (720 nucleotides) under Salmonella enterica subsp. enterica serovar Mikawasima. RNAcentral describes it as "partial 23S ribosomal RNA". It matches the Rfam family "Bacterial large subunit ribosomal RNA", at positions 2164 to 2878 of the family's 2925-position model. Lineage: Bacteria; Pseudomonadati; Pseudomonadota; Gammaproteobacteria; Enterobacterales; Enterobacteriaceae. The record is from RNAcentral.
GUGGACGCCAGUCUGCAUGGAGCCGACCUUGAAAUACCACCCUUUAAUGUUUGAUGUUCUAACGUGGACCCGUAAUCCGGGUUGCGGACAGUGUCUGGUGGGUAGUUUGACUGGGGCGGUCUCCUCCUAAAGAGUAACGGAGGAGCACGAAGGUUGGCUAAUCCUGGUCGGACAUCAGGAGGUUAGUGCAAUGGCAUAAGCCAGCUUGACUGCGAGCGUGACGGCGCGAGCAGGUGCGAAAGCAGGUCAUAGUGAUCCGGUGGUUCUGAAUGGAAGGGCCAUCGCUCAACGGAUAAAAGGUACUCCGGGGAUAACAGGCUGAUACCGCCCAAGAGUUCAUAUCGACGGCGGUGUUUGGCACCUCGAUGUCGGCUCAUCACAUCCUGGGGCUGAAGUAGGUCCCAAGGGUAUGGCUGUUCGCCAUUUAAAGUGGUACGCGAGCUGGGUUUAGAACGUCGUGAGACAGUUCGGUCCCUAUCUGCCGUGGGCGCUGGAGAACUGAGGGGGGCUGCUCCUAGUACGAGAGGACCGGAGUGGACGCAUCACUGGUGUUCGGGUUGUCAUGCCAAUGGCACUGCCCGGUAGCUAAAUGCGGAAGAGAUAAGUGCUGAAAGCAUCUAAGCACGAAACUUGCCCCGAGAUGAGUUCUCCCUGAGACUUAGAGUCUCCUGAAGGAACGUUGAAGACGACGACGUUGAUAGGCCGGGUGUGUAAGCGCAG